GGUUAAGCGACUAAGCGUACACGGUGGAUGCCCUGGCAGUCAGAGGCGAUGAAGGGCGUGCUAAUCUGCGAUAAGCGCCGGUAAGGUGAUAUGAACCGUUAUAACCGGCGAUACCCGAAUGGGGAAACCCAGUGUGACUCGUCACACUAUCAUUAACUGAAUCCAUAGGUUAAUGAGGCGAACCGGGGGAACUGAAACAUCUAAGUACCCCGAGGAAAAGAAAUCAACCGAGAUUCCCCCAGUAGCGGCGAGCGAACGGGGAGGAGCCCAGAGCCUGAAUCAGCAUGUGUGUUAGUGGAAGCGUCUGGAAAGGCGCGCGAUACAGGGUGACAGCCCCGUACACAAAAGCGCAUGUGCUGUGAGCUCGAUGAGUAGGGCGGGACACGUGGUAUCCUGUCUGAAUAUGGGGGGACCAUCCUCCAAGGCUAAAUACUCCUGACUGACCGAUAGUGAACCAGUACCGUGAGGGAAAGGCGAAAAGAACCCCGGCGAGGGGAGUGAAAAAGAACCUGAAACCGUGUACGUACAAGCAGUGGGAGCACAGGUUUACCUGUGUGACUGCGUACCUUUUGUAUAAUGGGUCAGCGACUUAUAUUCUGUAGCAAGGUUAACCGAAUAGGGGAGCCGGAGGGAAACCGAGUCUUAAU
RNAcentral lists this ribosomal RNA (647 nucleotides) under Salmonella enterica. RNAcentral describes it as "partial 23S ribosomal RNA". It matches the Rfam family "Bacterial large subunit ribosomal RNA", at positions 1 to 688 of the family's 2925-position model. RNAcentral also lists the same sequence under 5 other names. Lineage: Bacteria; Pseudomonadati; Pseudomonadota; Gammaproteobacteria; Enterobacterales; Enterobacteriaceae. The record is from RNAcentral.